Non-coding RNA from Dorea longicatena CAG:42, 352 nucleotides. NCBI's taxonomy places the organism in Bacteria, Bacillati, Bacillota, Clostridia, Lachnospirales, Lachnospiraceae. The record is from Rfam.
CAAGUAAGACAGGUAAUCGCAGCUGCAGAUGCCGAAAGGCAGCAGGUGAGGAAAGUCCGGGCUUCACAGGGCAGGAUGCCGGAUAACGUCCGGUGGAGGCGACUCCAAGGAUAGUGCAACAGAAAUAUACCGCCAGGAUAUAAUUCUGGUAAGGGUGGAAGGGCAGUGUAAGAGACUACCGCCUUGCUGGUAACAGCAGGGGCAUAUGUAAACCCCAUUCGAAGCAAGACCGGAUAAAGACAAUGUGGCGGCCCGUCACGUCUUAGGUAGGUUGCUUGAACCCAUUGGUAACGAUGGGUCUAGAAAGAUGAUUACCCAACGACAUAACCCGGCUUAUCGUUUUGCUUGCAAU